GACGAACCGUCCAAACGUUAUUCGGAAUCACUGGGCUUAAAGGGUGCGUAGGCGGCGCGGAAAGUUGGGUGUGAAAUCCACUGGCUUAACUGGUGGCUUGCUUUCGAUACGGGCAGACUGGAGGUAUGCAGGGGAGAACGGAAUUCCUGGUGUAGCGGUGAGAUGCGCAGAUAUCAGGAGGAACACCGGUGGCGAAGGCGGUUCUCUGGGCAUGUCCUGACGCUGAGGAGAGAAAGUGUGGGGAGCGAACAGG
This 253-nucleotide ribosomal RNA is filed under the name uncultured bacterium. RNAcentral describes it as "partial 16S ribosomal RNA". It matches the Rfam family "Bacterial small subunit ribosomal RNA", at positions 524 to 776 of the family's 1533-position model. The record is from RNAcentral.